Non-coding RNA from Monodelphis domestica (gray short-tailed opossum), 2151 nucleotides. The record is from RefSeq and is a predicted model, not a curated record. NCBI's taxonomy places the organism in Eukaryota, Metazoa, Chordata, Mammalia, Didelphimorphia, Didelphidae.
UCUUGUGUGUGCCAGGUCAAUGAGCCUAGCAUUUAUAUAGCCUAACCUUACGGUUCCAGUUUCCAAGAUGUCCACAUCACACUCUGUGGUUUAGAAAAUGAAAAUACUAAGAAGCAACAAACCAGAGAUCUAAGCAAAACCCACCACUGGCCUUUGAAUGACCAAUUGAAAGACUGAGCAAGGUGGUGUUCUUGGAGUCCAAGUGAACUGGGAUUUCAUCAGUGAGGAUUCUCUGUACUUUGGCAGCAUGUCUCUGAACUCUUACUCUGCAAACUCUGGAUCAUGUCUUCCCGUGCAAAUCCAAUGAGUCAACAGAGCAAAAUGCCACUGAAAUGGUUGUCUUCAAAGGAACUGCCUGCCAUGCAUCAUGGUGUGAUAGGCUACAUCUUUCUGACCCAGCUUAGUAAAGAGGUAAGGCAACAAACAUUCUUGGAGGCCUUAUCAGACACUGUUAUCUCUGUGCUAAGAGUAACAAAACUAAUUCAGGAAGAAACUUCAGUUCAAUAGUUAGGCUUUCUUGGGGUCUAGAGAAGCCCAACCUUCAAAGAAAAUGACCAUUCAGUAAUGCUUUCUCUAGGAAAGUAGAGGACUAUGGGAGAAAAUGUUUUAUAUGCUAUCAGACAGGGCAACUCUUGGUUCAUUUUGUCUGCCUGGUUUUCUUUAUUAUAAGAGAAAACCUUAAAAAGGAUGAAGGGGAAAGUAAAUCUAGAAAUGAUAAUGAUAUUUUAAAAAUACACAUUGAUACAAUUUAUUAAAAACAAACAAAAGAUCAUUAGGUCACUAAAAUAAAGUCUUUGGGGGCAGUAAUAAUGGGCUGACUUAGGAUGGGGUGGUUCAAGAGAGAAAUCAGGACAGGGCAAAGAGUUUGAGAAGUCUCUAGAGGGAACACUGAAGUCCAUGAAUGGACAUUGUGUUAACAAAGGAGGGAAAAUGCGCCACCACCCCCACCCCCUGCUCCUUGUACUACCAGCAGUGCCCCAUUGGAGCAUGGGGAGCACAGGGGAAAAUCAAAGGGGGGUUCUGAGAGGCAGGGGAGCAAGACAGACAGAGACAGGCCCUUUAUCUAGGCAGACAGUCAGGCUUCUGUUCCCAUGGCUUUUUGACAAAGAAAGGGAGACUUUUUCAGGAAACCAGAUAAUUGGGUGGGGGCCCCUCCAGGAUGAUCCAUAAUCAGAAAUCGCUUCAGGGAAAAGAGAGAGGAGGAAAAAAUCCAGGAAACAGGAAAAAAAAGAAAAAAGUAACAGUUUCAGAAAUCAAAUGCUUUGAAAGAACAAAAGGGACAGAAAAAUAGUCAAAUGGGGAAUGGCAGCAAACAUUGGCAAGCUGUUAGGGCAACUGAACUUUACCAAUACAAACACUGAUUUCAGCUGCAUUUUGACUGUUGUGUCCUAGAAGUAUGGGGCCACAGCUCUUGGCCACUGCCAGAACACUAUGAGUAUUCAAUGAACAUUAAGCAGAAUUUCACUGUGGAUUAUCGCUUAAAAAUAGCUUACUCCCAAAGAGACUUUUCAAAAAAAUCCUGUAUUGCUAAGAUUAGAAUUGACCUUAGGAUAAUUGGCAAGUAAUGACCAAAGACUUAGAAAAAUUCAUAGCAUAUAGUUAGUUCAUGCGAACAAUGUACAGCCCUGGUCUCAAGGUCUCCUUCAGGAACCCUCUCCCUUUCUCCCUACCCGCCAUCAUUAUUAGCCUGUUUCUUUCUUUCCUUUCUUCUGAAAGCCCGUUGCACAAAUGCUGUUUGUUCCCACUUCCAUGCCUUUGCAGAGAUCAUUCCCCACCAUUUGUUUAUUCCUACCUCCAUGCCUUAAUAUGGAUUAUUCCCCACAUUAUAAUGUCUUCAUCCUCUCUGGCAAUCUGCGGCCAUGAGCCUUUUCCAACACUAGCUUUUGGACAAAGCCAGUUUGACUAAGCUAUGAUUGAUAGCAGCUGAAGAUUAGUGAAAACGUGACAAAUCAAAGCAUUUUUAAUCAUUUAAAUCUUAUUCUAAACUGUGUAUUUCAACAUAAUGAAUUCUAGUAAAUGUUAUACUUGGCUGUUUUACUGUUAUUUUAUUUUGAGUGGAAAAAUAGCAUUCGCUUUUGCUUGGGAUAAUCCUGCUUAUGUGAAGCCUAGUCCUUCAUAUUAAGAAGCCAAUAGCUCAAGCAACACUGUUUA